Molecule: RNA transcript, 3691 nt
Organism: Acipenser ruthenus (sterlet)
Lineage: Eukaryota; Metazoa; Chordata; Actinopteri; Acipenseriformes; Acipenseridae
Exons: 18
Source: RefSeq, a predicted model, not a curated record
UUCAUUUUCAAUUUUGCACAGAAGUGGCUAUGUAGUAUUAGCAAUUCUUAACAUGUCUUUAAUGUUUUAAUAGACUUGUUAAGUAAUACUUUUAUCAAAUCUAGGAAUGGAUGUUCACUGUCUUGUAAAGCCAAAGGUUUAUCUAAAACUGGCUAGUAGCAGUGCCAAAAUGUGUUUAAAAUAAUAAAUUUAGAUGGCUCUGUACUCGCUCCUAAUUUUACUUUUUUGCAGCUUGUAGUAAUAUAUUUAAGUUUAUGGUUUAAAUAUAAAGUUGUAUGCAUUCAAAGCUUUGUAUUUGUCAAGUUUAAUAUUAAUAGGGAUGAAUAGUCUAACAUUUAUUCAUGUUAGUGUUCUCUUGUAUUCUGUAUUCACACAUUUAACAUUAUUUACCGUUUUAUUAAUUUAAAGGAUGGUGCAAACCUUGUAGUACUUAUAACUAUUUAUUUAACCUAUUGUUUAAAGUAAUAUUAAUGUGACAGUAUUAUUUAUUUCUUAGCAGACGCCCUUAUCUAGGGUGACUUACAAUUGUUACAAGAUAUCACAUUAUUUUUACAUACAAUUACAUUUUUUUUUACACAUUAUUUUUACAUACAAUUACCCAUGUAUGCAGUUUGGUUUUUACUGGAGCAAUCUAGGUAAAGUACCUUGCUCAAGGGUACAGCAGCAGUGUCCCCCAUCUGGGAUUGAACCCAUGACCCUCCGGUCAAGAGUCCAGAGCCCUAACCACUACUCCACACUGCUGCCCUAUACAGUAUCUGUUUAAUGCUUAAGCAAUUUUUCCUAUUUACCUCAAAUCCUUUCAAUGAUACCCCUUGCAUAACUCAAGUCAUUUCUUCUUUCAUGUUGGUAUGUGUAAUCUUUGACCUGUGCUACUUAUUGAAUUUUCUGUUUUGUCAAUGUGAGGUAAACUGCUUGAUUAACUACAUAUCUUUAUUUACAAGCCUUAAAUACAAUGUGAAUGCUGUUAUUUUCAGACAAAGAAAUGGUGUAAGGUAUCUGAAGACACCUAUGGGUCUUUGCCCCUCUGUUUUUCAAUUUGGGUAGAUUUUACCAAAAAAGACACCAGGCCUGUCUGGCACUUUUCAGGUAUUCUGUGUAUACAGGUUGAGUUCGGUUCCCAAUGUUCUGGUGCUAGUUUCACAAAGCACCUCUAGCACUUGGCAGGCUUAUUUUUUUUUACCUCUUUCAAAAAAAUGUUUUUAGAUAAACCAAUAAAGUUUUGUAGAAAUCUGCCUAGUCUGUAUGAUUAAAGGAUAAAUGUUGUGUUUCUUCUUUCUUUUAUUGAAGCAUUUGUAUUUGGCAGACUGCUACCUAGAGCUGCUUUGUGAAGUAGCCCCUAGUUCCCAGCAUUCUGUUUCUUUUUUGUUAAUUUAUUUUACUGUAAUUGUUUUACAAUGUUCAUCCUAACACAUAUGUAGUUUGUUUCCUUGACAAGUUUUUCCACAGUAUUUAAUGACAUUUUACUUUUUAAUGAGAAUAAAUCAAAUAUAUUCACACCAACGUGAAUGACUCCAUCCAACACAAGGUCCAGAUUACCUUGAACAUUUUUGGGAUGCACCCAAAAAGCAAAAUCUGCUUGAUUUCUUUGUCCAGCAAAAGAGAAUUGGCCAUUUAAAGCAAAGACCAGUUGAGGAGGAACAGGGACAAAGUUUUAAAUAUGUAAAUCCAAAUAUGGAAAUUGCAUAUCUCCGUAUUGUUGUUCAGCGAUUGCUACUGCAAUAUGUAAAAACCACUUACAAUUUGGACAAAGUGUCCUAUUUAAUGCAAUUUAAACCUCAAUGGUGGCCUGCUGAUCUCCCCUUUGCUUCACCAAGUGAUGGGAAGUGCAACAACAAAAACACAAGAAAAGUGCUUGGGUCUGAGGCACUGAAGCAAAUAAUAGUGUCAUACAAUUGGUACUACAAUCUUGUGCAUCACCUACCUCCCUUGAAGCUGGUCAAGAUGACUGUGUCUUUCUUGACGAAGGCAACAUUGUUAAAAAUUUGGAGUGUUUCUUUGAAAGCUGUGAUGCACAGCAAAGGGAAGUGGAUAUGUCUCCAAAUACCUGUAAUGCAACAAUGGGAUCCGAAGUCUUGGAACAGCAAUUAAUCUUUCUGUUGGAGACAAAAAUGUACAAAAGGAUUCUUGAAUUUAUGUACAACAUGAGCUGGGAUGAAUUGACAGGGAUUUCAAAAAUCCUUUCCACAAAUAUUGAAGCCUCUAGACCACUCAACCCUCCCAACCUGUCUGCAUUGCUGUCAAUGCCACAUGACAACAUGGCUUCCCCAUCUUUGGGCUUCACAGCACUGGAGGUAUCGAAAGAUGGGAAUUGUUUUUUUCAUUCCAUUGCGCUUCUCGUAACGGGAGAACAUGACAACAGCAGCUUAUUCCGGCUGGGUGCAAGUCUCCAUGGAAUAAAUCACUUGGACCAUUACCUGGACACAAUUUACUGUGGGUUAGGAGAAAACCUCAGUGAUUUGAUGUCCUGGAUCAGUAGCUUCACAGCCAGAGGCAUAACCUCAGAUUUGGACACCAGCAAUCCAAAGGAGAUGCUCAGAGUGGCAUUGCAAAAUGAAUGUAUGGAGACUCUGCUGGAUGGCGCCUAUAGUGGCGUCUUUCAGAACCUUAUCAUGGCGGGUUGGCUACAGGCAUCUAUCCAGCCUCAUUUAUCACCUGGCACUGUACAGGUCCACAAUGAGGUCUAUGCACAAGCAUUGCCACCUUGCUCCUGCUACACUGGCACCAGGAGAGAGCUCCACAUCUUGUGGACUACAGCUGAUCCUACUUGUCAAACCCUUAACCACAUUGUGCCUCUUCUACCUACAAAUGAUUACCAAAUCCAGCACCCGGCAACAGAUGAAAUCCCCGGCUUGACAUUGCGCACAACUUGUUCACAUGAAGAAUGUAUUAGACCAUCCCCAACUUCUGUGGAUGGAAAAUGGGUCCAAUGUGAUUCUACCAAGGGAUGCUCACGGUGGUGGCACUGCAUAUGUGUGGGCAUAUUUGACUGCGAAAAAAAAAAUUCAUUUGUUGUCAAAUCCAACACAUGCCAGCAUACAGUAUUUCACUGUUUGGCAGUCAAGGGAAAAGAAUCGGUCUAACUUCUUUCUCUGAUGCAAUGACCCUGGUCCCCGGAAGAGAGCUAACUAAUGGCAUUGUGGAUGCCUGCAUUGCCUGUGUCAUGGAAAGUGCUUUACUGCCCCACAGUGUUGCCCUGUCCAGUCGGGUGUCCCUCGAGUUGUUCUCAGGGAAGCGCCCAAGCCACCGACGGCUGAAUUCACUCCUCCCACAAAACCUUUCCCGUUUCAAUACCGUAAUGCUUCCAGUCCUUCAGAGUCAUCAUUGGUAUCUGGUAGUGUUGGAGAAGGAGUUUAAUGGUUUUGUGGGAUACUGCUUGGACAGUCUAAAUUGCGAUCGAAGUGCCAAUCGGUCUGCAAUAGAAAGGUGCCUUGUGUCCCAGAAAAUUGUCCAGUGGGUUUCUGUUGAGUGUUCUCAACAGAACAACAGUGUGGACUGUGGGGUUUUCCUCAUUUCAUUUCUUGAAGUCCUUGCUAAGUCACCAACUCUGGAACUUCAGAGAGUGAAGACAUUGGACAUUAACAACCAAAGAACACACUUGGCAUCACUCAGACAUGCAUCAUAACCUGAGAGGCUUGCUGUUAAAAAAUUGCCAGUUUCUGUUAAGUUAAAUAUUAAAAAUAACCUUGUCUGA